RNAcentral lists this ribosomal RNA (253 nucleotides) under uncultured bacterium. RNAcentral describes it as "partial 16S ribosomal RNA". It matches the Rfam family "Bacterial small subunit ribosomal RNA", at positions 524 to 776 of the family's 1533-position model. The record is from RNAcentral.
UACAGGGGGGGCAAGCGUUGUUCGGAAUUACUGGGCGUAAAGGGUCUGUAGGUGGCCAACUAAGUCAGACGUGAAAUCCCUCAGCUUAACUGGGGAACUGCGUCUGAUACUGGAUGGCUCGAGUGUGGGAGAGGAAUGCGGAAUUCCAGGUGUAGCGGUGAAAUGCGUAGAUAUCUGGAGGAACACCGGUGGCGAAGGCGGCAUCCUGGACCGAAAUUGACGCUGAGGCGCGAAAGCCAGGGGAGCAAACGGG